GUGCCAGCCGCCGCGGUAAGACGGAGGGUGCGAGCGUUAUUCGGAAUUAUUGGGCGUAAAGGGUGUGCAGGCGGUAGGUCAAGUCAGAUGUGAAAGCCCAGGGCUUAACCCUGGAAGUGCAUUUGAAACUGGCCCACUUGAGUUCGGGAGAGGAAAGCGGAAUUCCGGGUGUAGAGGUGAAAUUCGUAGAUAUCCGGAGGAACACCGGUGGCGAAGGCGGCUUUCUGGACCGAAACUGACGCUGAGACACGAAAGCGUGGGGAGCAAACAGGAUUAGAUACCCUGGUAGUCCACGCUGUAAACGAUGGGCGCUAGGUGUGGGGGGUUUUUAAUCUCUCCGUGCCGCAGCUAACGCAUUAAGCGCCCCGCCUGGGGAGUACGGCCGCAAGGUUAAA
Molecule: ribosomal RNA, 395 nt
Filed under: uncultured bacterium
Lineage: Bacteria
Description: bacterial SSU rRNA
Rfam family: Bacterial small subunit ribosomal RNA
Source: RNAcentral